Molecule: ribosomal RNA, 1468 nt
Filed under: metagenome
Description: bacterial LSU rRNA
Rfam family: Bacterial large subunit ribosomal RNA
Source: RNAcentral
UUCCUGUACCACUUAUUAAACUGAUGGAGUGACGGAGAAGGCUAAGUUGAGCGUGUUAAUGGAUUCACGUGUAAGCAGUGAGGUGGUCAUGUAGGCAAAUCCGCAUGGCAUAACAUUGAGCUGUGAUGCCGAAGCCGUAUGGCGAAGUCAACUGAUGUCACGCUUCCAAGAAAAGCUUCUAGGGUUAAUUUAGUAAGUGCCCGUACCGAUAACCGACACAGGUAGGCGAGGAGAGAAUCCUAAGAUGAGCGAGAGAACUCUUGUUAAGGAACUCGGCAAAAUGACCCCGUAACUUCGGGAGAAGGGGUGCUUGUGAAAGCAAGCCGCAGUGAAUAGGCCCAGGCGACUGUUUAUCAAAAACACAGGUCUCUGCUAAACCGCAAGGUGAUGUAUAGGGGCUGACGCCUGCCCGGUGCUGGAAGGUUAAGAGGAGAGGUUAGCGCAAGCGAAGCUUUGAAUUGAAGCCCCAGUAAACGGCGGCCGUAACAAUAACGGUCCUAAGGUAGCGAAAUUCCUUGUCGGGUAAGUUCCGACCCGCACGAAAGGCGUAACGAUCUGGGCGCUGUCUCAACAAGAGACUCGGUGAAAUCAUAGUACCUGUGAAGAUGCAGGUUACCCGCGACAGGACGGAAAGACCCCGUGGAGCUUUACUGUAGCUUGAUAUUGAGCACUGGUGACACAUGUACAGGAUAGGUAGGAGACGAAGAAGCCAGGACGCCAGUCUUGGUGGAGUCGCUGUUGGGAUACUACCCUUGUGUUACUAGGGUUCUAACCCGUGGCCAUGAUCUGGUCAGGGAACAGUGUCAGGUGGGCAGUUUGACUGGGGCGGUCGCCUCCCAAAGAGUAACGGAGGCGCCCAAAGGUUCCCUCAGAAUGGUUGGAAAUCAUUCGAAGAGUGUAAAGGCAGAAGGGAGCUUGACUGCGAGACCUACAAGUCGAGCAGGGACGAAAGUCGGGCUUAGUGAUCCGGCGGUACCGAAUGGAAGGGCCGUCGCUCAACGGAUAAAAGCUACCCCGGGGAUAACAGGCUGAUCUCCCCCAAGAGUUCACAUCGACGGGGAGGUUUGGCACCUCGAUGUCGGCUCAUCGCAUCCUGGGGCUGUAGUCGGUCCCAAGGGUUGGGCUGUUCGCCCAUUAAAGCGGUACGCGAGCUGGGUUCAGAACGUCGUGAGACAGUUCGGUCCCUAUCCGUCGUGGGCGUAGGAAAUUUGAGAGGAGCUGUCCUUAGUACGAGAGGACCGGGAUGGACACACCGCUGGUGUACCAGUUGUUCUGCCAGGAGCAUAGCUGGGUAGCUACGUGUGGACGGGAUAAACGCUGAAAGCAUCUAAGCGUGAAGCCCCCCUCAAGAUGAGAUUUCCCAUUCGAAAGAAGUAAGAUCCCUUGAAGACGACAAGGUAGAUAGGUCAGAAGCGGAAGUGUGGUGACACAUGGAGCGGACUGAUACUAAUCGAUCGAGGACUUAAUC